GCGUUCGUGAGGUCAGCGGUAGCCUGCCUGGUUCCCAACCAGGACGCGCGGGUUCAAAUCCCGCCGAACGCUC
RNAcentral lists this transfer RNA (73 nucleotides) under Gemmata sp. SH-PL17. RNAcentral describes it as "tRNA-Gly". It matches the Rfam family "tRNA". Rfam says of the family: Transfer RNA (tRNA) molecules are approximately 80 nucleotides in length. Their secondary structure includes four short double-helical elements and three loops (D, anti-codon, and T loops). Lineage: Bacteria; Pseudomonadati; Planctomycetota; Planctomycetia; Gemmatales; Gemmataceae. The record is from RNAcentral.